AUAUCAGUAAGCGGAGGAAAAGAAAUUAACAAAGAUUGCCCCAGUAGCGGCGAGUGAAGAGGCAAAAGCUCAAGUUGAGAAUCUGAGGUGUAACAGCCUCCGAAUUGUAAUCUGAAGUAUGUGCUAGAAGGCGAUGAAGACGCAGAAGUUCCUGAAAAGGGACGUCAUAGAGGGUGACAACCCCGUGUCUGGCGUCGGAUAGCUGUAUGGCAUGAUACGAAGAGUCGGGUUGUUUGGGACUGCAGCCCAAAAUGGGAGGUAAACUUCUCCUAAGGCUAAAUAUUUAUAGGAGACCGAUAGCGCACAAGUA
RNAcentral lists this ribosomal RNA (310 nucleotides) under uncultured eukaryote. RNAcentral describes it as "partial large subunit ribosomal RNA". It matches the Rfam family "Eukaryotic large subunit ribosomal RNA", at positions 40 to 350 of the family's 3401-position model. The record is from RNAcentral.